GACGAACGCUGGCGGCGUGCUUAACACAUGCAAGUCGAACGGUAAGGCCCUUCGGGGUACACGAGUGGCGAACGGGUGAGUAACACGUGGGUGAUCUGCCCUGCACUUCGGGAUAAGCCUGGGAAACUGGGUCUAAUACCGGAUAGGACUCCUGGCUUCAUGGUUGGGGGUGGAAAGCUUUUGCGGUGUGGGAGGGGCCCGCGGCCUAUCAGCUUGUUGGUGGGGUAAUGGCCUACCAAGGCGACGACGGGUAGCCGGCCUGAGAGGGUGACCGGUCACACUGGGACUGGGAUACGGCCCAGGCUCCUAGGGGGGGCAGCAGUGGGGAAUAUUGCACAAUGGGCGCAAGCCGGAUGCAGCGACGCCGCGUGAGGGAUGACGGCCUUCGGGUUGUAAACCUCUUUCAGCUAUGACGAAGCGCAAGUGACGGUAAUAGCAGAAGAAGGACCGGCCAACUACGUGCCAGCCGCCGCGGUAA
RNAcentral lists this ribosomal RNA (478 nucleotides) under uncultured bacterium. RNAcentral's name for it is "partial 16S ribosomal RNA". It matches the Rfam family "Bacterial small subunit ribosomal RNA", at positions 28 to 523 of the family's 1533-position model. The record is from RNAcentral.